This 379-nucleotide unclassified non-coding RNA is filed under the name uncultured Gammaproteobacteria bacterium. RNAcentral's name for it is "contains 16S-23S intergenic spacer region". Lineage: Bacteria; Pseudomonadati; Pseudomonadota; Gammaproteobacteria. The record is from RNAcentral.
UCCGGUUUAUCACCGGCAGUGUCCUUAGAGUCCCCGCCAUUACGCGCUGGCAACUAAGGAUAAGGGUUGCGCUCGUUACGGGACUUAACCCAACAUUUCACAACACGAGCUGACGACAGCCAUGCAGCACCUGUCACAGAGUUCCCGAAGGCACACUCAGAAUUACCCGAGCUUCUCUGGAUGUCAAGGGUAGGUAAGGUUCUUCGCGUAGCAUCGAAUUAAACCACAUGCUCCACCGCUUGUGCGGGUCCCCGUCAAUUUCUUUGAGUUUUAGCCUUGCGGCCGUACUCCCCAGGCGGAGAACUUAUCGCGUUAGCUUCGACACUAAGCCCUCAUUGGGGCCCAACGUCUAGUUCUCAUCGUUUACGGCGUGGACUAC